CACGCGAGCUGGGUUCAGAACGUCGUGAGACAGUUCGGUCCCUAUCCGUCGCGGGCGUAGGAAAUUUGAGAGGAGCUGUCCUUAGUACGAGAGGACCGGGAUGGACAUACCGCUGGUGUACCAGUUGUUCCGCCAGGAGCAUCGCUGGGUAGCUACGUAUGGACGGGAUAAGUGCUGAAAGCAUCUAAGCAUGAAGCCCCCCUCAAGAUGAGAUUUCCCAUGGCGUAAGCCAGU
RNAcentral lists this ribosomal RNA (234 nucleotides) under Shouchella clausii. RNAcentral's name for it is "Bacillus clausii partial 23S ribosomal RNA". It matches the Rfam family "Bacterial large subunit ribosomal RNA", at positions 2597 to 2829 of the family's 2925-position model. The record is from RNAcentral. Lineage: Bacteria; Bacillati; Bacillota; Bacilli; Caryophanales; Bacillaceae.